Molecule: ribosomal RNA, 253 nt
Filed under: uncultured bacterium
Lineage: Bacteria
Description: partial 16S ribosomal RNA
Rfam family: Bacterial small subunit ribosomal RNA
Source: RNAcentral
UACGAAGGGGGCGAGCGUUGUUCGGAAUCACUGGGCGUAAAGCGUGCGUAGGCGGCGAUAAAAGUUAGAAGUGAGAGCCCAGGGCUCAACCUUGGAAUUGCUUUUAAAACUAGAUUGCUCGAAUCUCGGAGAGGAUAGCGGAAUCGUCAGUGUAGCAGUGAAAUGCGUAGAUAUUGACAGGAACACCAGUGGCGUAAGCGGCUAUCUGGACGAGUAUUGACGCUGAGGCACGAAAGCGUGGGGAGCAAACAGG